GAAGAAUUCAGAGAUGGAUUUGUGCCUUCGGGAACCGUGAGACAGGUGCUGCAUGGCUGUCGUCAGCUCGUGUUGUGAAAUGUUGGGUUAAGUCCCGCAACGAGCGCAACCCUUAUCCUUUGUUGCCAGCGGUCAGGCCGGGAACUCAAAGGAGACUGCCAGUGAUAAACUGGAGGAAGGUGGGGAUGACGUCAAGUCAUCAUGGCCCUUACGACCAGGGCUACACACGUGCUACAAUGGCGCAUACAAAGAGAAGCGACCUCGCGAGAGCAAGCGGACCUCAUAAAGUGCGUCGUAGUCCGGAUUGGAGUCUGCAACUCGACUCCAUGAAGUCGGAAUCGCUAGUAAUCGUGGAUCAGAAUGCCACGGUGAAUACGUUCCCGGGCCUUGUACACACCGCCCGUCACACCAUGGGAGUGGGUUGCAAAAGAAGUAGGUAGCUUAACCUUCGGGAGGGCGCUUACCACUUUGUGAUUCAUGACUGGGGUGAAGUCGUAACAAGGUAACCGUAGGGGAACCUGCGGUUGGAUCACCUCCUUA
This 540-nucleotide ribosomal RNA is filed under the name Salmonella enterica. Its description in RNAcentral is "bacterial SSU rRNA". It matches the Rfam family "Bacterial small subunit ribosomal RNA", at positions 993 to 1533 of the family's 1533-position model. The record is from RNAcentral. Lineage: Bacteria; Pseudomonadati; Pseudomonadota; Gammaproteobacteria; Enterobacterales; Enterobacteriaceae.